This is a long non-coding RNA of Homo sapiens (human), 348 nucleotides long. RefSeq lists it as uncharacterized. The record is from RefSeq and is a predicted model, not a curated record. The transcript is spliced from 2 exons. NCBI's taxonomy places the organism in Eukaryota, Metazoa, Chordata, Mammalia, Primates, Hominidae.
CAAAGAAAUACACAGAGGCCAGGCUGCUGAGGGUCUUGUGAGCCAGGGCAAGGAGUCUGAAUUAUGUUUUCAGAGUCUGGGCUACAUGUUGACCCGCUCCCUAUGGCAGUGACUUCUAUCCUUGGCUAAGAGCAUAAAAGUGUCCACGGAUCAGAAAGCUUGAGAACUACUAAAUUAGAUCAAAGUAAAAUAAAGCCUCUUGCGGGAAACAAGAAACUUUUUGAGUAGGCUUUUGGGUAAGCAGGAUGGAAUGUACUGACGAGAAGAAAGAAAUGACAAGAAGAAAGAAGAGUCAACCUGCUUCUAAAACAAAUAAACACACCAUGAGAAGGAAUGUCAGGGUCUAAA